RNAcentral lists this ribosomal RNA (492 nucleotides) under uncultured bacterium. RNAcentral describes it as "partial 16S ribosomal RNA". It matches the Rfam family "Bacterial small subunit ribosomal RNA", at positions 29 to 507 of the family's 1533-position model. The record is from RNAcentral.
AGUGAACGCUGGCGGUAGGCCUAACACAUGCAAGUCGAACGGCAGCACAGUAAGAGCUUGCUCUUACGGGUGGCGAGUGGCGGACGGGUGAGGAAUACAUCGGAAUCUACUUUUUCGUGAGGGAUAACGUAGGGAAACUUACGCUAAUACCGCAUACGACCUACAGGUGAAAGCAGGGGAUCUUCGGACCUUGCGCGAUUGAAUGAGCCGAUGUCGGAUUAGCUAGUUGGCGGGGUAAAGGCCCACCAAGGCGACGAUCCGUAGCUGGUCUGAGAGGAUGAUCAGCCACACUGGAACUGAGACACGGUCCAGACUCCUACGGGAGGCAGCAGUGGGGAAUAUUGGACAAUGGGCGCAAGCCUGAUCCAGCCAUACCGCGUGGGUGAAGAAGGCCUUCGGGUUGUAAAGCCCUUUUGUUGGGAAAGAAAAGCAGCAGGUUAAUACCCCGCUAUUCUGACGGUACCCAAAGAAUAAGCACCGGCUAACUUCGUG